GACGAACGCUGGCGGCGUGCUUAACACAUGCAAGUCGAACGGAAAGGCCCUGCUUUUGUGGGGUGCUCGAGUGGCGAACGGGUGAGUAACACGUGAGUAGCCUGCCCUUGAAUUUGGGAUAACUUCAGGAAAAUGGGGCUAAUACCGGAUAGGAGCUCCUGCUGCAUGGUGGGGGUUGGAAAGUUUCGGCGGUUGGGGAUGGACUCGCGGCUUAUCAGCUUGUUGGUGGGGUAGUGGCUUACCAAGGCUUUGACGGGUAGCCGGCCUGAGAGGGUGACCGGCCACAUUGGGACUGAGAUACGGCCCAGACGCCUACGGGAGGCAGCAGUGGGGAAUAUUGCACAAUGGGCGGAAGCCUGAUGCAGCAACGCCGCGUGCGGGAUGACGGCCUUCGGGUUGUAAACCGCUUUCGCCUGUGACGAAGCGUGAGUGACGGUAAUGGGUAAAGAAGCACCGGCUAACUACGUG
This 468-nucleotide ribosomal RNA is filed under the name uncultured bacterium. RNAcentral describes it as "partial 16S ribosomal RNA". It matches the Rfam family "Bacterial small subunit ribosomal RNA", at positions 28 to 507 of the family's 1533-position model. The record is from RNAcentral.